AGAGGGGGGGAAAAAAAACCAGAACCCUUUCAUCGUGUUGGGGUUUUCUUCGCUGUUUUGUUUCACUUAAGACAUCACUCAGGAGCAAAUGGGACAUGAUGUAUGUCUGCAUUCCUCGGCCCGAGGAAUUCUUGGUGUUCGGGUUUCGCUGCCUUUAAGUGACAGGAAGCAGCACUUCACCCUUAUUUUUGCAGCAUUGUCUGAGAAUUAACCACAACAUGAUGGUAAUGUACAUUUUUUUUUUUUUAUGCUUCACAGGGGUUUGCUUUUAUUAGCCAUUUCUUGUGGUUUCGCUUGUUGGCGCGUUGCAGAUCCUCCCAAUGAUAACUCUGGCUAUUGUGUUUCAUCUGUGCUUGGAUUCAAACACGAAUUUCUUCUGAAGUCUUCUUGCUAAACUGUGGCCCCCUCAAAGAUUCCCUUCCAAGAAAUCAGCUUUGCCCCGA
Long non-coding RNA from Pseudopipra pipra, 443 nucleotides. RefSeq lists it as uncharacterized. The transcript is spliced from 2 exons. Lineage: Eukaryota; Metazoa; Chordata; Aves; Passeriformes; Pipridae. The record is from RefSeq and is a predicted model, not a curated record.